GGCGACCGGCGCACGGGUGAGUAGCACGUAUCCAACCUGCCGAUGACUCGGGGAUAGCCUUUCGAAAGAAAGAUUAAUACCCGAUGGCAUAGUUCUUCCGCAUGGUGGAACUAUUAAAGAAUUUCGGUCAUCGAUGGGGAUGCGUUCCAUUAGGUUGUUGGCGGGGUAACGGCCCACCAAGCCUUCGAUGGAUAGGGGUUCUGAGAGGAAGGUCCCCCACAUUGGAACUGAGACACGGUCCAA
Molecule: ribosomal RNA, 243 nt
Filed under: uncultured bacterium
Lineage: Bacteria
Description: partial 16S ribosomal RNA
Rfam family: Bacterial small subunit ribosomal RNA
Source: RNAcentral